This is a non-coding RNA of Prunus avium (sweet cherry), 558 nucleotides long. The record is from RefSeq and is a predicted model, not a curated record. NCBI's taxonomy places the organism in Eukaryota, Viridiplantae, Streptophyta, Magnoliopsida, Rosales, Rosaceae.
AAAAAAGAAACAUUAUGCAAUCCUUUAUUCGCUAUGGAAGUUAUACGGGAAUCAUUGUAACUUUCUUGUGUUUAUUAAUUUUAGGAAGUUAAGUGUUUGUCAAAACGGAGAACCAGAGAACAAAUCACUGUCAUUUAUGUUAGAAUCGAAAGAAGAUUGGAAGAACUUUCCAAGCUUUUAUGCAAAAUUCAGGCUUCGGGUAUUGGAUCGAGUCCAUGCUAAACAUACUAUUGAAAAAGAAGUUCAACACUGGUUCUGUUCCUCAAACUGCAAAAUUGUUUUCCCAGACUUUAUGCCGUGGAAAACUCUCCGUGACUCGUCGAAGGGGUUCAUUAAGAAUGAUGUAUUAACUGUUGAAGUAGAAAUAUGCUCGCUAUCUGUGGUUGAUGCUCCUAGAAUAUUAAAAAAACCAUAGUUUUAUGAUUAAGAUAGAUGGUUGCAGAUCUUUGAAUAGUAUUUGGGGCCCUAUGUGUAUAUGCUGUGCUAGAAUUGCAGAGUGGUGUAUCCGGAACAUAUAAAAAUUCGUGUGAACUUUAUCAGAUAAUUUUCAUGUUUGAA